GUAGGUGGCAAGCGUUGUCCGGAAUUACUGGGCGUAAAGCGCGCGCAGGCGGUCCUUUAAGUCUGAUGUGAAAGCCCACGGCUCAACCGUGGAGGGUCAUUGGAAACUGGGGGACUUGAGUACAGAAGAGGAAAGCGGAAUUCCAAGUGUAGCGGUGAAAUGCGUAGAGAUUUGGAGGAACACCAGUGGCGAAGGCGGCUUUCUGGUCUGUAACUGACGCUGAGGCGCGAAAGCGUGGGGAGCAAACAGGAUUAGAUACCCUGGUAGUCCACGCCGUAAACGAUGAGUGCUAAGUGUUAGGGGGUUUCCCGCCCCCUUAGUGCUGCAGCUAACGCAUUAAGCACUCCGCCUGGGGAGUACGGCCGCAAGGCUG
RNAcentral lists this ribosomal RNA (373 nucleotides) under uncultured organism. RNAcentral's name for it is "partial 16S ribosomal RNA". It matches the Rfam family "Bacterial small subunit ribosomal RNA", at positions 527 to 896 of the family's 1533-position model. The record is from RNAcentral.